UGCAGUCGAGCGGACAGAUGGGAGCUUGCUCCCUGAUGUUAGCGGCGGACGGGUGAGUAACACGUGGGUAACCUGCCUGUAAGACUGGGAUAACUCCGGGAAACCGGGGCUAAUACCGGAUGGUUGUUUGAACCGCAUGGUUCAAACAUAAAAGGUGGCUUCGGCUACCACUUACAGAUGGACCCGCGGCGCAAUAGCUAGUUGGUGAGGUAACGGCUCACCAAGGCAACGAUGCGUAGCCCACCUGAGAGGGUGAUCGGCCACACUGGGACUGAGACACGGCCCAGACUCCUACGGGAGGCAGCAGUAGGGAAUCUUCCGCAAUGGACGAAAGUCUGACGGAGCAACGCCGCGUGAGUGAUGAAGGUUUUCGGAUCGUAAAGCUCUGUUGUUAGGGAAGAACAAGUACCGUUCGAAUAGGGCGGUACCUUGACGGUACCUAACCAGAAAGCCACGGCUAACUACGUGCCAGCAGCCGCGGUAAUACGUAGGUGGCAAGCGUUGUCCGGAAUUAUUGGGCGUAAAGGGCUCGCAGGCGGUUUCUUAAGUCUGAUGUGAAAGCCCCCGGCUCAACCGGGGAGGGUCAUUGGAAACUGGGGAACUUGAGUGCAGAAGAAGAGAGUGGAAUUCCACGUGUAGCGGUGAAAUGCGUAGAGAUGUGGAGGAACACCAGUGGCGAAGGCGACUCUCUGGUCUGUAACUGACGCUGAGGAGCGAAAGCGUGGGGAGCGAACAGGAUUAGAUACCCUGGUAGUCCACGCCGUAAACGAUGAGUGCUAAGUGUUUAGGGGGUUUCCGCCCCUUAGUGCUGCAGCUAACGCAUUAAGCACUCCGCCCGGGGGAGUACGGUCGCAAGACUGAAACUCAAAGGAAUUGACGGGGGCCCGCACAAGCGGUGGAACAUGUGGUUUAAUUCGAAGCAACGCGGAGAACCUUACCAGGUCUUGACAUCCUCUGACAAUCCUAGAGAUAGGACGUCCCCUUCGGGGGCAGAGUGACAGGUGGUGCAUGGUUGUCGUCAGCUCGUGUCGUGAGAUGUUGGGUUAGUCCCGCAACGAGCGCAACCCUUGAUCUUAGUUGCCAGCAUUCAGUUGGGCACUCUUAGGUGACUGCCGGUGACAACCGGAAGAAAGGUGGGGAUGACGUCCAAUCAUCAUGCCCCUUAUAACUGGGGCUACCACCUGCU
This 1186-nucleotide ribosomal RNA is filed under the name Bacillus tequilensis. RNAcentral's name for it is "bacterial SSU rRNA". It matches the Rfam family "Bacterial small subunit ribosomal RNA", at positions 56 to 1226 of the family's 1533-position model. Lineage: Bacteria; Bacillati; Bacillota; Bacilli; Caryophanales; Bacillaceae. The record is from RNAcentral.